GAUUUAAGAUGUCUAUCAAAAUAUUUUAUUCUGUUUCCUUAAAUCAUUUGUUUAUAAUUGUAUUAUAGUAAUAUUAUACUGAAACAUGUAUCUAUUCGGAACACGAGUUAUAGGUUUAUUAGUUUUUUGUAGAACUGGGUGGAGAAUUUGGUUACGGCGGACGAGUUAACGGCCAUCAUUAAUAUCGAAACAGAGAUGGAAGACUCGGAGCCUUCCGACAGUGUAGAAGUCAAGAAUUCGGAUUAAGUUUUAUAGCCAAUCAUGAUGUUAUUGUGUCUCGGACUAAACGCAAACCUGAUGGUCCAGACUAAUCUAUUGGAAGAACGUGUAUAUCUUCAUAGUGACUUCUGACAAAAUAAGUCUGUGAAUUGUUACAAUAUGACUUCAGUAGAUCUAGAAAUAGUCCAGCCAGCUGUGGCAGAUUUACAGUUGGUUAUAAAUAUGAUUGAGACAUUGGUGACUUGUAUAACGACAUUGUUUUUAGGCCUCUGGAGUGAUGUAAACGGUCGCUUGCCAUUGUUAUUAACAGCAAUCUCAGGUUAGGUAUAAUCUGCAUUUAGGUAUGUCCUUAAAUUAUAAUAUAAUGCAUUUAAUAUAUUAUAUUGUACAAUCGCUUCAAAUUUAAGGUCUGGUAAUAUCUAACUGCAUGUACAGUGUAUUUUCUACGAUGCCAAGUCUGUCUCUGAAAAUGUUUUUGCCGUGCAGCAUACCUAUUGAUGUUAGGUGUGUUGUAUGCAUUUUUCAGCUUUGGCUCAGUUCUUGGAUCUGCACUGAGUAUACUGUAUGAGUUCAAUAUUAUAUGGUAAAUCUACUACUUAUUCAUUUUGCCUAUCAUGUUUCCAUUGUUGGAUUUCUUUAUACGUGUAUUUUUCAAAAGGAAACAAUAGUCAUCAAAAAGGGUGCGGAUACAAGACUUAUCACUAUGAAACUGGUAAAUUAUAUGUGGCAAACUGUUACAAAAAAUGAUGUGGCUACUUAAGAUCCAUAAUUAUACUAUCUGCAGUGUUCUUAACUGUCAAUUAAAUCUUUUUAUUUGGCAACCAUAAUUGGUUAUAGAUCGAGUACAAUUUUGUUUGUGGGCAUUAGAAAUCGGUUUUGUGUAAUUUGCAAGAGGGCGAAAAAUUAAAAAAUUACAUCCACCUGAACAUACAUGUUUUAUAAAUUGGAAAAAGGUGCAACAAGUAUGGAAGCUGAUGGUGUUGCAGAUGGUUUUAAACAGAGUUUAGAAAUACAUGGUCUAAAAUAGCAUAAACUAAUAGGAGUAGUCAUUUCAGAUGGUUUAUUGUAUGUGAUUUACGGAGAAGUAAAUAAAUCUGAAAAAUUUGUUAAUACUAUAUAAGUGUAUAACCUAACAUCAAUACCUGGUCCAUGGAAUCAUUGUCAAGAAGUAAUAUAAACUUCUGUGUGUUCAGUUGAGUAGUCGUUAAUGGGCCACCACAUUUUAUAUCUAAUUAGCACUAAUAAUAGUCGUUUCGGUAGUAAUAAUACACACAUAUGACUAACUUACGAUGAAACAUAUAUUUAUUAUAUAAAUUUUCUUUUUUUGUGAAUUUUCAAUAAAAACUGUUUUGUAUAAUUUAAAUUAACUAUUGCAUUCUUAAAUACAGUUUAUAUUCAGUAGGUUUAUUCAUAACAGUAAAUAAUAAUUUUUUUUCUCAACAAUACUUUGCUUUAUACUCCAAUACGUAUUCUUAAAUAAAAAAAGACUGGGCCACAUCAUAUGAAUAUAAGUUGUUGUGGGCCACCUACUUUUUAAUAAUAAUACAUUCAAAUCGAAUGAUUAAAUUAUAUUCUAUAAUACAACAAUACAUUUUUUAUGAUUUUACUAUACAGAAUAAUAAGCAGAAAUUUUUUUCAGCAACAUCUUUGAAUACAAUGUCGUCAAAUACAAUAUACAAAUUAAACUUCAUUGGAAUAAUAAUUAAAUAAACAUGGCAUGUGCUGUUUAGUAUAUUAUACACAACUGUAUACCUAAGUUUUUAAUUAAUUCUAUAAAAUCUGUAAUAGUGUUUAAUUACUUUCCACAAGGUAAUCCAUAAGUAUUUUGAAAACGCGAGAGGAAAUCUUGUGGUCUGCCUCACCUUGAUUUGUCAUUAUAUGCUACAAAUAUUUUCUAAUUUUAUUUCUUUAUUUUUAUACAGGGUGCGGAUACAAGACUUAUCACUAUGAAACUGGUAAAUUAUAUGUGGCAAACUGUUACAAAAAAAUGAUGUGCCUACCUAAGAUCCAUAAUUAUACUAUCUGCAGUGUAAACUCUUAAUUUAAUUGAUUUAUUUGGCAACCAUAAUUGGUUAUAGAUCGAAAACAAUUUUGUUUGUGGGUAUUAGAAAUCAAUUUGUGUAAUUUGCAAGAGGGCGAAAAAUAAAAAAUUACAUCCACCUGAACAUACAGGUUUUAUAAAUUGGAAAAAGGUGCUACAAGUAUGGAAGCUGGUGGUGUUGCAGAUGGUUUUACACAGAGUUUAGAAAUGCAUGGUCUAAAAGACAAUAAACUAAUAGGAGACGGAAACUCAAGUGCUACAAAAAGAUUAGCAAACAUUAUGCUUUAUGGCCCUAGACUACAAGUAAUAAAAAUAAAAUGUCGCAACCAUUUAUUGCGAAAUUAUGGAACAAAAUUAAGAGCUAUGAUGUUAAAUAAUAAGUACCAGACUCAGUUAAGAAAUCAUCUAAAAUCAAAUAUGAUACGCUUUAGAAUUUUAGAUGAUUGAAUGUCGCAAUAGUAUACUAGGCCAAACAGCUUACCUAAAAUCAAUAGGUCUACAACAAGAUAUAAAUAACAGUUUUUGACACAUAAUAGGUGUCCAUGACCGAUGAAAGGAACACUUUUGUAAGAAUCUGCCAGCAAAUGAAAAAAAAAAUAGUAUCAAAGUCGCCGAGGAAUCAGAGCUUGUAUAGUGGAUAUACUUUAUAAUCGUUUAUGUGAAAUAAGAGCUUUUUCAAAACAUUUGAAGUCUGUCAAACGUUAUGAUCACACACAUGAACUACCUAGUUGAAGAACUUUCUGUGUGUCAAGAAGAUGUUACUCUAGAAGUUUUGUAAGGUGUAACGUAUGAUAUCAGUGUUAGCGAUGGAUCAACAUUACUGUUUGGCCUGUAGACUAAUGAUGGAGCGUGGUAUUUUAUUGCAAAUAUAUUUCUCGAUAUAUACCUGGAGUAGUCGAUUCAGAUGGUUUAUUGUAUGUGAUUGACGGAGAAACAAAUUAAUCUGAAGAAUUUGUUGAUACUUUUUAAGUGUACAAAGUAACAACAAUACUCGUCCAUGGAAUCAUUGUCAAGAAGUAAUAUAGACUUCUGUGUGUUCAGUUGAUUAGUCGUUAAUGAGCCACCACAUUCCACCACAUCUAAUUAGCACUUAUAUUAGUCGUGUCGGUAGUAAUAAUACACACAUAUGACUAACUUAUGAUAAAACAUAUAUUUAUUAUAUCAAUUUUAUUUUUUUGUGAAUGUUUAAUAAAAAGUGUUUUGUAUAAUUUAAAUCAACUAUUGCAUACACAAAUACAGUUUAUAUUCAG
This is a long non-coding RNA of Metopolophium dirhodum (rose-grain aphid), 3510 nucleotides long. RefSeq lists it as uncharacterized. The record is from RefSeq and is a predicted model, not a curated record. NCBI's taxonomy places the organism in Eukaryota, Metazoa, Arthropoda, Insecta, Hemiptera, Aphididae. The transcript is spliced from 11 exons.